Molecule: long non-coding RNA, 415 nt
Filed under: Nicotiana benthamiana
Lineage: Eukaryota; Viridiplantae; Streptophyta; Magnoliopsida; Solanales; Solanaceae
Description: long non-coding RNA (NBEN_LNC011035)
Source: RNAcentral
UUUGUUUAGCGUAAAUUUUGCGUUCGGCGAGGUAGAGGGAGACCUAAGAGGUAUUGGGGGAGGUGAUUAGGCAUGACAUGACUAGAAUGCGGGUUUCCGACGACAUGACCCUUGAUAGGAAAGUCUGGAGGUCUAGUAUCAGGGUUGUAAGAUAGGGCUCCUAGAGUUUUUGGUACUCCUCACCCGGGGUUGGGUGAGGCUUGACAGGGCUAUCCAUAGAAAAUUUGUGUUUUGGCUUGUAUCUCCCUUAUGGUAGUUAUUUAUGAAAGUUACUGUAUUAUAUUAUUGCAUGCUAUUUUAUUAUAUUUCUUAUGUUUAGAUAAUUAUUUACGCUAUUUCUGCUAGAGUUACUAAUGCUCUUUUGUUUUUGUUUUUGUUUUUUUCUUUCCUUUCCUUCAAUGAGCCGAGGAUCGAU